RNAcentral lists this ribosomal RNA (497 nucleotides) under uncultured bacterium. Its description in RNAcentral is "partial 16S ribosomal RNA". It matches the Rfam family "Bacterial small subunit ribosomal RNA", at positions 28 to 507 of the family's 1533-position model. The record is from RNAcentral.
GAUGAACGCUGGCGGCGUGCCUAAUACAUGCAAGUCGAGCGAACAGACGAGGAGCUUGCUCCUCUGACGUUAGCGGCGGACGUGUGAGUAACACGUGGAUAACCUACCUAUAAGACUGGGAUAACUUCGGGAAACCGGAGCUAAUACCGGAUAAUAUAUUGAACCGCAUGGUUCAAUAGUGAAAGACGGUUUUGCUGUCACUUAUAGAUGGAUCCGCGCCGCAUUAGCUAGUUGGUAAGGUAACGGCUUACCAAGGCAACGAUGCGUAGCCGACGUGAGAGGGUGAUCGGCCACACUGGAGCUGAGACACGGUCCAGACUCCUAAGGGAGGCAGCAGUCGGGAAUCUUACGCAGUGGGCGAAAGCAUGACGGAGCAACGCCGAGUGAAUGAUGAAGGUCUUCGGAUCGUAAAACUCUGUUAUUAGGGAAGAACAAAUGUGUAAGUAACUAUGCACGUCUUGACGGUACCUAAUCAGAAAGCCACGGCUAACUACGUG